Long non-coding RNA from Chelonus insularis, 701 nucleotides. RefSeq lists it as uncharacterized. The transcript is spliced from 2 exons. The record is from RefSeq and is a predicted model, not a curated record. Lineage: Eukaryota; Metazoa; Arthropoda; Insecta; Hymenoptera; Braconidae.
UAGAAUAAUAUUUCACAUCGUUUUAAUCAUGAGGAAGAAAAAGCUAGCUGGGAUUGGUCACGAGAAUUUCGUUUGAGAUAUCCAGAGUUGUUGAGAAGUUUCAAGCUAAAAUCUGCAGCUUAAAAAAAGGAGCUAAGUCCAUGAAGACUUUGCCAGAUGACACCAUCAAAGAAAAAAUUGAUGAAUCAAAUACACAGAAAUCUAAUGAGUUUGAACAGAACAACAAUUACUAACGACCAACAAUAACAUCUGAAAUUUAUGUCGAUACAAGAAUGAAUGUACCUAUCCUAUUUUGGGCUCCUGUAGGAAAGUGGAAUACCAGAGUAAAUGAAAAAUGGGAGAAAGCGAGGAUAAGCAAGAGUUAUAAAAUAUUGCUAUAAAAUGAAAGGGCAGGAAAUGAAACUUAGAAGUAUUAUAACACGUUUGAGAUAUAAAUAAAACAAUCAUUAAUCAAUAGAUCAAAUUCAGUUAUAAACAAAUAGUUUACAUUUAAUCACAAUUUCUAUUCACUUUGAAGUGAAAUUGCAAUAAAGUGCAAUCGCUAAGGAAUUUUUGCAAUAUAAUCGCUAAAAUACCAGAAUUGAAACAUGUGUACUCGAAUAAACGCUGAAGAUUUCAAAAUAGUGAUUAAAUAUAAAUUAGCCAAACUGAAUAAUCACACAAAAAUGUUAAUUACUUAAAAAUAUAACUAUAUCAGUGUA